CAGCAGCAGCCGCGGGAAUACAGAGGGUGCGAGCGUUAAUCGGAUUUACUGGGCGUAAAGCGUGCGUAUGCGGCUUCUUAAGUCGGAUGUGAAAUCCCUGAGCUUAACUUAGGAAUUGCAUUCGAUACUGGGAAGCUAGAGUAUGGGAGAGGAUGGUAGAAUUCCAGGUGUAGCGGUGAAAUGCGUAGAGAUCUGGAGGAAUACCGAUGGCGAAGGCAGCCAUCUGGCCUAAUACUGACGCUGAGGUACGAAAGCAUGGGGAGCAAACAGGAUUAGAUACCCCCGUAGUCCCUGUCUCUUAUAA
This 304-nucleotide ribosomal RNA is filed under the name uncultured bacterium. RNAcentral describes it as "partial 16S ribosomal RNA". It matches the Rfam family "Bacterial small subunit ribosomal RNA", at positions 506 to 809 of the family's 1533-position model. The record is from RNAcentral.